AUUGAACGCUGGCGGCAUGCCUUACACAUGCAAGUCGAACGGCAGCACGGGGGCAACCCUGGUGGCGAGUGGCGGACGGGUGAGUAAUGCAUCGGAACGUGCCCUGAAGUGGGGGAUAACGCAGCGAAAGCUACGCUAAUACCGCAUAUUCUGUGAGCAGGAAAGCAGGGGAUCGCAAGACCUUGCGCUUUGGGAGCGGCCGAUGUCGGAUUAGCUAGUUGGUGGGGUAAAGGCCUACCAAGGCGACGAUCCGUAGCGGGUCUGAGAGGAUGAUCCGCCACACUGGGACUGAGACACGGCCCAGACUCCUACGGGAGGCAGCAGUGGGGGAAUUUUUGGGACAAUGGGCGAAAGCCUGAUCCAGCCAUGCCGCGUGAGUGAAGAAGGCCUUCGGGUUCGG
Molecule: ribosomal RNA, 400 nt
Filed under: uncultured bacterium
Lineage: Bacteria
Description: bacterial SSU rRNA
Rfam family: Bacterial small subunit ribosomal RNA
Source: RNAcentral